RNAcentral lists this long non-coding RNA (233 nucleotides) under Ictidomys tridecemlineatus (thirteen-lined ground squirrel). RNAcentral describes it as "lncRNA (ENSSTOG00000029470.1)". The record is from RNAcentral. Lineage: Eukaryota; Metazoa; Chordata; Mammalia; Rodentia; Sciuridae.
AUCCACUCCCUUCUCAGCUUCUCCAGGAUGGCUAGUCCCAUGGGGCAGUGCUUGAGGGGAAGAUAAAAUAAGCCGGGGAACAUUGGCAGCUGGCGAGCCUUUCUGGAGUGGCGAGAGAGUCUGCACCUGCCAGGAGCCAGAGGAGGGGAAAGACGUCCUCACUUCUAAACACCGACGUGGAACUGUCCCCUGCACUCCCAGAGCACUGUCGCAGGUAGUGAGCUUGCCUGCAG